AUCUUUAAAAAGUGGCCUGUUGGGGUGCCUGGGUGGCUCAGUUGGAACUUCAGGAUCUGACGGACUGGACAGGAAAGAGACACUCCUCUG
RNAcentral lists this long non-coding RNA (90 nucleotides) under Felis catus (domestic cat). RNAcentral's name for it is "lncRNA (ENSFCAG00000042432.2)". The record is from RNAcentral. Lineage: Eukaryota; Metazoa; Chordata; Mammalia; Carnivora; Felidae.